This 73-nucleotide transfer RNA is filed under the name Candidatus Nanoarchaeia archaeon. Its description in RNAcentral is "tRNA-Asp". It matches the Rfam family "tRNA". Rfam says of the family: Transfer RNA (tRNA) molecules are approximately 80 nucleotides in length. Their secondary structure includes four short double-helical elements and three loops (D, anti-codon, and T loops). RNAcentral also lists the same sequence under 1 other name. Lineage: Archaea; Nanobdellati; Nanobdellota; Candidatus Nanoarchaeia. The record is from RNAcentral.
GCCCUAGUAGUCUAGUGGCCUAGGAUCUCGGCCUGUCGAGCCGGGGACCCGGGUUCAAAUCCCGGCUAGGGCG